This 301-nucleotide ribosomal RNA is filed under the name uncultured bacterium. RNAcentral describes it as "partial 16S ribosomal RNA". It matches the Rfam family "Bacterial small subunit ribosomal RNA", at positions 509 to 807 of the family's 1533-position model. The record is from RNAcentral.
CAGCAGCCGCGGUAAUACAGAGGGUGCGAGCGUUAAUCGGAUUUACUGGGCGUAAAGCGUGCGUAGGCGGCUUCUUAAGUCGGAUGUGAAAUCCCUGAGCUUAACUUAGGAAUUGCAUUCGAUACUGGGAAGCUAGAGUAUGGGAGAGGAUGGUAGAAUUCCAGGUGUAGCGGUGAAAUGCGUAGAGAUCUGGAGGAGUACCGAUGGCGAAGGCAGCCAUCUGGCCUAAUACUGACGCUGAGGUACGAAAGCAUGGGGAGCAAACAGGAUUAGAUACCCCUGUAGUCCCUGUCUCUUAUAC